GAUGAACGCUGGCGGCGUGCCUAAUACAUGCGAGUCGAGCGAACGGAUAAGAAGCUUGCUUCUCUGAUGUUAGCGGCGGACGGGUGAGUAACACGUGGGUAACCUACCUAUAAGACUGGAAUAACUUCGGGAAACCGGAGCUAAUGCCGGAUAAUAUUUAGAACCGCAUGGUUCUAAAGUGAAAGAUGGUCUUGCUAUCACUUAUAGAUGGACCCGCGCUGUAUUAGCUAGUUGGUAAGGUAACGGCUUACCAAGGCAACGAUACGUAGCCGACCUGAGAGGGUGAUCGGCCACACUGGAACUGAGACACGGUCCAGACUCCUACGGGAGGCAGCAGUAGGGAAUCUUCCGCAAUGGGCGAAAGCCUGACGGAGCAACGCCGCGUGAGUGAUGAAGGUCUUCGGAUCGUAAAACUCUGUUAUUAGGGAAGAACAAAUGUGUAAGUAACUGUGCACGUCUUGACGGUACCUAAUCAGAAAGCCACGGCUAACUACGUG
RNAcentral lists this ribosomal RNA (497 nucleotides) under uncultured bacterium. RNAcentral describes it as "partial 16S ribosomal RNA". It matches the Rfam family "Bacterial small subunit ribosomal RNA", at positions 28 to 507 of the family's 1533-position model. The record is from RNAcentral.